Molecule: ribosomal RNA, 902 nt
Filed under: uncultured bacterium
Lineage: Bacteria
Description: bacterial SSU rRNA
Rfam family: Bacterial small subunit ribosomal RNA
Source: RNAcentral
AGAGUUUGAUCAUGGCUCAGAACGAACGUUGGCGGCGUGGAUUAGGCAUGCAAGUCGAACGAGAACCACUGGGCAACUGGUGGGGAAAGUGGCGAAAGGGGCAGUAAGGCGUGGGUAACCUACCCUGGGGACCGGGAUAGCCACUCUAACGGGUGGGUAAUACCGGGCGACGUAGCGAAGGCGCAUGUCUUUGCUACCAAAUGAGUUUCGCCCUGGGAGGGGCUCACGUGAUAUUAGCUUGUUGGCGAGGUAACGGCUCACCAAGGCAAAGAUGUCUAGCGGGUGUGAGAGCACGACCCGCGCCACUGGCACUGAGACACUGGCCAGACUCCUACGGGAGGCUGCAGUCGAGGAUCUUCGGCAAUGGGCGCAAGCCUGACCGAGCGACGCCGCGUGUGCGAUGAAGGCCUUCGGGUUGUAAAGCACUGUCGAGGGGGAGGAAGCUCCGCAAGGGGUUGACCUAUCCCUGGAGGAAGCACGGGCUAAGUUCGUGCCAGCAGCCGCGGUAAGACGAACCGUGCAAACGUUGUUCGGAAUCACUGGGCUUAAAGGGCGCGUAGGCGGGCAAGCAAGUCCGGGGUGAAAUCUUUCGGCUUAACCGGAAAAGUGCCUUGGAUACUGCUUGUCUCGAGGGAGGUAGGGGCAGCGGGAACUUCCAGUGGAGCGGUGAAAUGCGUUGAUAUUGGAAGGAACUCCGGUGGCGAAAGCGCGCUGCUGGAUCUCUACUGACGCUGAGGCGCGAAAGCUAGGGGAGCAAACGGGAUUAGAUACCCCGGUAGUCCUAGCCCUAAACGAUGGGUACUAGAUUGUGGACUUAACAUGGGUUCCCAGUCGAAGCAAAAGUGUUAAGUACCCCGCCUGGGGAGUAUGGUCGCAAGGCUGAAACUCAAAGGAAUUGACGG